Molecule: microRNA, 22 nt
Filed under: Schmidtea mediterranea
Lineage: Eukaryota; Metazoa; Platyhelminthes; Tricladida; Dugesiidae
Description: sme-miR-746-3p
Gene: sme-miR-746-3p
Source: miRBase by way of RNAcentral
UAGCACCAGGGUAUAUCGGGAU